RNAcentral lists this small nucleolar RNA (115 nucleotides) under Jaculus jaculus (lesser Egyptian jerboa). Its description in RNAcentral is "Small nucleolar RNA SNORA33 (ENSJJAG00000007249.1)". The record is from RNAcentral. Lineage: Eukaryota; Metazoa; Chordata; Mammalia; Rodentia; Dipodidae.
AAGCCAGCCAACUGGUCUGCUUAUCUGAAUGUGUUUCUGCAGAAAUGUAGAGAGAGCUGGCGAUGGUGAUGGCAUGUUACAAGCCUUAAGGGCAGUUGAGGUAGGGUCUUGCUCU